GGCCAGUUAGCUCAGUCAGUUAGAGUGUGAUGCUGAUAACACCAAGGGCCUGGGUUUGAUCCCCGUUUGGUCC
This 73-nucleotide transfer RNA is filed under the name Apaloderma vittatum (bar-tailed trogon). It matches the Rfam family "tRNA". From Rfam's summary of the family: Transfer RNA (tRNA) molecules are approximately 80 nucleotides in length. Their secondary structure includes four short double-helical elements and three loops (D, anti-codon, and T loops). The record is from Rfam by way of RNAcentral. Lineage: Eukaryota; Metazoa; Chordata; Aves; Trogoniformes; Trogonidae.